Molecule: ribosomal RNA, 506 nt
Filed under: uncultured bacterium
Lineage: Bacteria
Description: partial 16S ribosomal RNA
Rfam family: Bacterial small subunit ribosomal RNA
Source: RNAcentral
GAUGAACGCUAGCUACAGGCUUAACACAUGCAAGUCGAGGGGUAACGAGAGGAAAGCUUGCUUUCCUUGUCGACGACCGGCGCACGGGUGAGUAACGCGUAUCCAACCUGCCCCCAACUAGGGAAUAACCUUGCGAAAGUAAGACUAAUACCCUAUAAUUUCCUCAGAUGUCAUCUGACGAGGAAUAAAGAUUUAUCGGUUGUGGAUGGGGAUGCGUCUGAUUAGCUUGUUGGCGGGGUAACGGCCCACCAAGGCAACGAUCAGUAGGGGUGCUGAGAGGAAGGGCCCCCACAUUGGAACUGAGACACGGUCCAAACGCCUACGGGAGGCAGCAGUGAGGAAUAUUGGUCAAUGGGCGGAAGCCUGAACCAGCCAAGUAGCGUGCAGGAUGACGGCCCUAUGGGUUGUAAACUGCUUUUAUACAGGAAUAAAGUUAGCCACGUGUGGUUAUUUGUAGGUACUGUAUGAAUAAGGACCGGCUAAUUCCGUGCCAGCCGCCGCCGUAA